GCCUUCGUGGUGUAGUGGUUUAGCACGCUGGAUGGGUAUUCCAGAGGUCCGUGGUUCGAUUCCCGGCGAAGGCG
This 74-nucleotide transfer RNA is filed under the name Stegodyphus dumicola. RNAcentral's name for it is "tRNA-Thr". It matches the Rfam family "tRNA". From Rfam's summary of the family: Transfer RNA (tRNA) molecules are approximately 80 nucleotides in length. Lineage: Eukaryota; Metazoa; Arthropoda; Arachnida; Araneae; Eresidae. The record is from RNAcentral.